CGAUCGGGAUAGGUGUCCUCGAGAUAGUUCGCGAUCGCCCAUGAGUCGGCGACGGAGGUUUCGCCGUCGAUGAACACCGGCACCUUGUCGGACUGAUGCGGNNNNNNNCGUCCUUUUCGCUGAAGCGCCACGGGAUCGUUUCGGCCUUGAUAUCCUUGUGCGCCAGCGCCAUGCGCGUGCGCCAGCAGAACGGGCUGAACACACGCUCGGU
This 211-nucleotide unclassified non-coding RNA is filed under the name Hevea brasiliensis (rubber tree). The record is from RNAcentral. Lineage: Eukaryota; Viridiplantae; Streptophyta; Magnoliopsida; Malpighiales; Euphorbiaceae.